AGAGUUUGAUCCUGGCUCAGAACGAACGCUGGCGGCAUGCCUAACACAUGCAAGUCGAACGAGACCUUCGGGUCUAGUGGCGCACGGGUGCGUAACGCGUGGGAAUCUGCCCUCAGGUACGGAAUAACUCAGGGAAACUUGAGCUAAUACCGUAUAAUGACUUCGGUCCAAAGAUUUAUCGCCUGGGGAUGAGCCCGCGUCGGAUUAGCUAGUUGGUGAGGUAAAAGCUCACCAAGGCGACGAUCCGUAGCUGGUCUGAGAGGAUGAUCAGCCACACUGGGACUGAGACACGGCCCAGACUCCUACGGGAGGCAGCAGUGGGGAAUAUUGGACAAUGGGCGAAAGCCUGAUCCAGCAAUGCCGCGUGAGUGAUGAAGGCCUUAGGGUUGUAAAGCUCUUUUACCCGGGAUGAUAAUGACAGUACCGGGAGAAUAAGCCCCGGCUAACUCCGUGCCAGCAGCCGCGGUAAU
This 470-nucleotide ribosomal RNA is filed under the name uncultured soil bacterium. RNAcentral's name for it is "bacterial SSU rRNA". It matches the Rfam family "Bacterial small subunit ribosomal RNA", at positions 8 to 524 of the family's 1533-position model. The record is from RNAcentral.